RNAcentral lists this ribosomal RNA (110 nucleotides) under Saprospiraceae bacterium. RNAcentral also lists the same sequence under 2 other names. Lineage: Bacteria; Pseudomonadati; Bacteroidota; Saprospiria; Saprospirales; Saprospiraceae. The record is from RNAcentral.
UUAGGUGGCUUUAGCGCAGGGGUCCCACCUCUUCCCAUUCCGAACAGAGAAGUUAAGCCCUGCUGCGCCGAUGGUACUGGUUAUUCCGGGAGAGUAGGUCGCCGCCGUUU